This 2075-nucleotide long non-coding RNA is filed under the name Androctonus crassicauda. Lineage: Eukaryota; Metazoa; Arthropoda; Arachnida; Scorpiones; Buthidae. The record is from RNAcentral.
CGAAAAUCUCCAUUAUAAUUCGAUAGAAGAAAAUAAAUCGUUUACGACGUUAUCUUGAUGGAUUCCAACGGGGGAAAAGAAUUAUUAUUUAAAGAAUUUUAUUCUUUAAUGUUCUGUCCUCAGUAUUUGUGUACACAUCAGCAUUUACAGUAAAGGAUCGUUAAGUUUAAUCGCGGUAAUUCUCUUUGAUCAAGCAUUUAAUGUUCCCGCUUCUAAAUAGUUGUGUGAUUUAUUGUAUUAAUCAUAUCUAGGAACGAACAUCGAUUAAAAAUACGUUUUUAUUAACGUCUUUCGUCUAUCGGUUAAAAAUAUAUAUUUUUUUACUCCAUAUUAAAAAAAUAAGUAUAAUAAUUGCGAUUUUAUAUUCGAUCCUAUUUGCAUUAAUACCAUUUUUACACUCUUUAAACAGAUAGAUUGUUUAAAUAUGGUAGCAUAAGAUCUCUAUAAGACAAUUUUUUGUCGUGGUGGAGUUGGCCAAUGACUGUGUAUCGAUAACUGUAGCACUGUUUCAAUUUUUAUUGCCCUCGACAAAAUUUGCACACGGAAGAGAGGGAAGAAGAAGGAAAAAAAAAAAGUAAAUAAAUGGGGAGUACAAAACGUUUCGCCUUAUCUAAAUAAAUCGAGAAUUAAACUUAACUAAUCGUUCUUUUGAUUAAUGACCAUUCUUACCCAGGUGAUAAAAAAAAACUUUGUUCCUAGUCUGGCUUGAUAAUUAAUUAGAUUUUUUUUUAGACUUAGACCCACGGUGGAGGACAGUUUAAUUAACAGAUUAACUAUUCAGAACAGAAUCGCAUCUGUGUUAUAGUUAGGAUUAAGUCGAUGAAUAAUUUUCUUCCGAUAUUUUUUUUUUCCCUGCUCGAAAUGUUUAAAAAAUUAGAAGAAGAAAGAAAAAAUUGUUUAAUUCUUUUAUAUAGACUAGUAUGUUUCCAGCGAGAAUUAUGGAUUCAUGAGAAUGGCCGACUACUUCCGCGUUUUAUUUUUGUUAUUAUAUAUAGAAAGUCGUUGGUAGUAUGUAUAAAGAAAAGGUAGGGUGGGAAAAAAAUCUUAAAAAACAGGGAACUGGCAAUCAGAUUAAUAUGAAGUUGAUGACAUACGCAACGCUAUCGUUCUAACGACAUCGCAGGUACAGUAUCUCCUCCACGUUUUCAAUUCUCAUAGAAGAACGCGUCAUUAUUGGCUUUUUUUUUUAUUUCGUCCUCUCUCUCUCUCCUUCUCUCUCUUGUUCUUCUCUUUAAUCUUUUCCUUGGAUAGUAACCGUUGUAAUUAGGCUGCACCACUUACUGUGACAUCUGUUGACCAUCAUUUUCUAAAUCUGUUUCGUUGCUACUUUCUUCUACAGGUGUACACAACGAUUCGCUCAAAGUCUUUCCGAUAAUUCCUCACCUCGCACUUUUUCUCUCAUCUUCUCGGGGAGGAAUAUUUUCUCUCCCUCCCGCUACAACAUUUGGACUCGGCAGAAAUCGGAAUCAGAUAGCAAAUAGCAGUUUCCGUUCUUAAUGAUAAUUGCGAGAAUAAAUCGUUUCGAUGUUCCAACAUAUCCCCCCUUCUCUUAUGAUUAGGCUAUAUAUGUGUGUAAGAUGGGUGAAAAUAGAAAACAUAUUUUCUCAAUCUCUAGGGGGAGGAAAAACUUUUUCAGAGAUAGUUACCGAUUUUGUGCAAAGAUUCCUGUGCACAUUUGCUAACUUGUUUGUUUUCAAAACCGACGUUUGCAAAUUUUUUUUUCAUGUUUAAUAAUACGCAUUUUUAAAUUUUGCUCGUUAUAAAUUACAAGCGGCGAGUGGCCAUCCGGUAUAAUAAUUUUAUUAUUGCAUUAUAAACAUUGCCAUCUUAUGACAAAACACGUUACAAGUUGUUAACAAAGUUAGAAAAUAACUUUAUAGGGAAACACAACUGUAAAAAUUUUGAUGUUUUCGGUAGGCAGCCUCCUAAAUCAUCAGUUCAAAGAUUUAUCCAAUAUAUGGCAGGUUUACAGCUAAGAAAAAAGUUAGAUUAUCUGAUUACGAGUUUCUAAAAAAAAAAAAAAAAAAAGAGUAAAUAUAUAUUUUUUAUUUUGAUAAUGAGAGAAAAAAAAAAAA